GAAUGUCUACAUUUUAAGAUUAGAUCUCAAAUCAGGUAGGACUACCCGCUGAACUUAAGCAUAUCAAUAAGCGGAGGAAAAGAAACUAACAAGGAUUCCCCUAGUAGCGGCGAGCGAAGCGGGAAGAGCUCAAAUUUAUAAUCUGGCACCUUCGGUGUCCGAGUUGUAAUCUCUAGAAAUGUUUUCCGCGUUGGACCGCACACAAGUCUGUUGGAAUACAGCGGCAUAGUGGUGAGACCCCCGUAUAUGGUGCGGACGCCCAGCGCUUUGUGAUACAUUUUCGAAGAGUCGAGUUGUUUGGGAAUGCAGCUCAAAUUGGGUGGUAAAUUCCAUCUAAAGCUAAAUAUUGGCGAGAGACCGAUAGCGAACAAGUACCGUGAGGGAAAGAUGAAAAGCACUUUGGAAAGAGAGUUAACAGUACGUGAAAUUGUUGGAAGGGAAACGCUUGAAGUCAGACUUGCUUGCCGAGCAAUCGGUUUGCAGGCCAGCAUCAGUUUUCCGGGAUGGAUAAUGGUAGAGAGAAGGUAGCAGUUUCGGCUGUGUUAUAGCUCUCUGCUGGAUACAUCUUGGGGGACUGAGGAACGCAGUGUGCCUUUGGCGGGGGUUUCGACCUCUCACACUAGGAUGCUGAA
Molecule: ribosomal RNA, 632 nt
Filed under: Rhodotorula mucilaginosa
Lineage: Eukaryota; Fungi; Basidiomycota; Microbotryomycetes; Sporidiobolales; Sporidiobolaceae
Description: LSU rRNA
Rfam family: Eukaryotic large subunit ribosomal RNA
Source: RNAcentral